AUUCUUUUAUUCUUCACUGAACGGUCCAGAUUAUCUCAAUCUAACGUGCCGAUUAGCUCCUGCGUACGCGUCGCCUUCCCUCACCCAGCACUCUUGAAUCACGCGCCUUCCUAAAAUCACUCCGCUCCCAUACCCCCGAAAUCCUUCCGCUCUCCUCCCCCAGCACCGCAACGCGGGCAUUGCUCUCCCCACCGCGCCGCCGCCCCGCCCCCUCUGCCUCUCGCUCCUCCCGCCUCCUCCAUCGCUCUCCAAACCCUAAACCUAACUUCCCCGCCGAACACCGCCAGUCCGCCGUCGCGCACCACUCCGCCGCUCGUCGCCGGUUUUCUCUGCACCGUCUCCGAUCUCCACCAGGAACUCCCGCCGCCAGAACUGCGGCGUGCCGUCGCCCUAUAGGGCAUCCAUCAGGUCAGAGGCGAUUCCUCAACAUCCACACUACCGUGUCGGCAUCCAAUUUGGGCCUUCAGCGGACACCGGAAAAUAGUUGGACAGUUUUCUCCAUGUGUUGUUGUACGUUCCUUGUGUUAAGAAUUACGACCAACUCGAUGGGCUAUGGAAAUCAGUUUGUUGGUCUUGUAGCAUAGAAUCAGGCAAUCAGCUGUAUCAUAUCCUAAUGUCCAGUGGAAAAUGCAAUCUGUUGUCUUGGCAAGACGUACUCACCGUGUUAAGUUGAUGUAAUGUUUAUAUUACCAGAAA
Oryza sativa Japonica Group (Japanese rice) is the source of this 696-nucleotide long non-coding RNA. RefSeq lists it as uncharacterized. The record is from RefSeq and is a predicted model, not a curated record. NCBI's taxonomy places the organism in Eukaryota, Viridiplantae, Streptophyta, Magnoliopsida, Poales, Poaceae.